GAUGAAGAACGCAGCGAAAUGCGAUACUUGGUGUGAAUUGCAGAAUCCCGUGAACCAUCGAGUCUUUGAACGCAAGUUGCGCCCGAAGCCAUUAGGCCGAGGGCACGCCUGCCUGGGCGUCACACGUCGUUGCCCCCCCAUCUACUCCUUCGGGAUUGCGGGGGGCGGAUGAUGGCCUCCCGUGCGCCUCGCCGCGCGGUUGGCAUAAAUGCCAAGUCCUCGGCGACGCACGCCACGACAAUCGGUGGUUGCGAAACCUCGGUUGCCCGUCGUGUGCGGUCGUCGCGCAUCGAGGGCUCGAAAAAAUUGCCGGGUUCCGGCUCGGCUUUCAACGCGACCCCCGGUCAGGCGGGGUUACCCGCUGAAUUUAAGCAUAUCAAUAGCGGAGGA
RNAcentral lists this unclassified non-coding RNA (390 nucleotides) under soil metagenome. RNAcentral describes it as "partial contains 5.8S ribosomal RNA, internal transcribed spacer 2, and large subunit ribosomal RNA". The stretch from base 1 to 122 matches the Rfam family "5.8S ribosomal RNA", at positions 35 to 154 of the family's 154-position model. The record is from RNAcentral.